RNAcentral lists this ribosomal RNA (393 nucleotides) under uncultured bacterium. RNAcentral describes it as "partial 16S ribosomal RNA". It matches the Rfam family "Bacterial small subunit ribosomal RNA", at positions 523 to 918 of the family's 1533-position model. The record is from RNAcentral.
CUACGGAGGAUGCGAGCGUUAUCCGGAUUUAUUGGGUUUAAAGGGAGCGUAGGUGGAUUGUUAAGUCAGUUGUGAAAGUUUGCGGCUCAACCGUAAAAUUGCAGUUGAAACUGGCAGUCUUGAGUACAGUAGAGGUGGGCGGAAUUCGUGGUGUAGCGGUGAAAUGCUUAGAUAUCACGAAGAACUCCGAUCGCGAAGGCAGCUCACCGGGCCGGAACUGACACUGAUGCUCGAAAGUGCGGGUAUCAAACAGGAUUAGAUACCCUGGUAGUCCGCACAGUAAACGAUGAAUACUCGCUGUUUGCGAUACACUGUAAGCGGCCAAGCGAAAGCGUUAAGUAUUCCACCUGGGGAGUACGCCGGCAACGGUGAGACUCAAAGGAAUUGACGGGG